UCAGACCGAGGUGAACCGUCGUCGUCGAUGGUGGAGCCGGCGUGGGAGCACGGCGGCAGUGCCAUGCUGGAACCGUAAAAUUGGCCGAAAAAGAUUUUCUACACCAAUUUUGGGUUUUUAAGGAAUUUUUGGAAACGUGACAAGUAUUUUAAUUUCUACAUGAAAAAUUCAGAAAAUCCAAGACUUGUCAGGGGGCAUAGUGGGUAGCAUAGUAUUUUGAAACACCAAUCCGGAUAAAAAUCUCUCACCAUUUCAUGUUACGAUAAAUAGAGGUUUAAUAAAUUGGUAAUCUU
This 293-nucleotide long non-coding RNA is filed under the name Carica papaya (papaya). Its description in RNAcentral is "long non-coding RNA (CPAP_LNC015782)". The record is from RNAcentral. Lineage: Eukaryota; Viridiplantae; Streptophyta; Magnoliopsida; Brassicales; Caricaceae.